This 1914-nucleotide ribosomal RNA is filed under the name Janthinobacterium sp. Ant5-2. Its description in RNAcentral is "bacterial SSU rRNA". It matches the Rfam family "Bacterial small subunit ribosomal RNA". Lineage: Bacteria; Pseudomonadati; Pseudomonadota; Betaproteobacteria; Burkholderiales; Oxalobacteraceae. The record is from RNAcentral.
AGAGUUUGAUCCUGGCUCAGAUUGAACGCUGGCGGCAUGCCUUACACAUGCAAGUCGAACGGCAGCACGGAGCUUGCUCUGGUGGCGAGUGGCGAACGGGUGAGUAAUAUAUCGGAACGUACCCUAGAGUGGGGGAUAACGUAGCGAAAGUUACGCUAAUACCGCAUACGAUCUAAGGAUGAAAGUGGGGGAUCGCAAGACCUCAUGCUCGUGGAGCGGCCGAUAUCUGAUUAGCUAGUUGGUAGGGUAAAAGCCUACCAAGGCAUCGAUCAGUAGCUGGUCUGAGAGGACGACCAGCCACACUGGAACUGAGACACGGUCCAGACUCCUACGGGAGGCAGCAGUGGGGAAUUUUGGACAAUGGGCGAAAGCCUGAUCCAGCAAUGCCGCGUGAGUGAAGAAGGCCUUCGGGUUGUAAAGCUCUUUUGUCAGGGAAGAAACGGUGAGAGCUAAUAUCUUUUGCUAAUGACGGUACCUGAAGAAUAAGCACCGGCUAACUACGUGCCAGCAGCCGCGGUAAUACGUAGGGUGCAAGCGUUAAUCGGAAUUACUGGGCGUAAAGCGUGCGCAGGCGGUUUUGUAAGUCUGAUGUGAAAUCCCCGGGCUCAACCUGGGAAUUGCAUUGGAGACUGCAAGGCUAGAAUCUGGCAGAGGGGGGUAGAAUUCCACGUGUAGCAGUGAAAUGCGUAGAUAUGUGGAGGAACACCGAUGGCGAAGGCAGCCCCCUGGGUCAAGAUUGACGCUCAUGCAUAUAUGUGGAGGAACACCGAUGGCGAAGGCAGCCCCCUGGGUCAAGAUUGACGCUCAUGCACGAAAGCGUGGGGAGCAAACAGGAUUAGAUACCCUGGUAGUCCACGCCCUAAACGAUGUCUACUAGUUGUCGGGUCUUAAUUGACUUGGUAACGCAGCUAACGCGUGAAGUAGACCGCCUGGGGAGUACGGUCGCAAGAUUAAAACUCAAAGGAAUUGACGGGGACCCGCACAAGCGGUGGAUGAUGUGGAUUAAUUCGAUGCAACGCGAAAAACCUUACCUACCCUUGACAUGGCUGGAAUCCUCGAGAGAUUGAGGAGUGCUCGAAAGAGAUGCGUAGAUAUGUGGAGGAACACCGAUGGCGAAGGCAGCCCCCUGGGUCAAGAUUGACGCUCAUGCACGAAAGCGUGGGGAGCAAACAGGAUUAGAUACCCUGGUAGUCCACGCCCUAAACGAUGUCUACUAGUUGUCGGGUCUUAAUUGACUUGGUAACGCAGCUAACGCGUGAAGUAGACCGCCUGGGGAGUACGGUCGCAAGAUUAAAACUCAAAGGAAUUGACGGGGACCCGCACAAGCGGUGGAUGAUGUGGAUUAAUUCGAUGCAACGCGAAAAACCUUACCUACCCUUGACAUGGCUGGAAUCCUUGAGAGAUCAGGGAGUGCUCGAAAGAGAGCCAGUACACAGGUGCUGCAUGGCUGUCGUCAGCUCGUGUCGUGAGAUGUUGGGUUAAGUCCCGCAACGAGCGCAACCCCCUUGUCAUUAGUUGCUACGAAAGGGCACUCUAAUGAGACUGCCGGUGACAAACCGGAGGAAGGUGGGGAUGACGUCAAGUCCUCAUGGCCCUUAUGGGUAGGGCUUCACACGUCAUACAAUGGUACAUACAGAGCGCCGCCAACCCGCGAGGGGGAGCUAAUCGCAGAAAGUGUAUCGUAGUCCGGAUUGUAGUCUGCAACUCGACUGCAUGAAGUUGGAAUCGCUAGUAAUCGCGGAUCAGCAUGUCGCGGUGAAUACGUUCCCGGGUCUUGUACACACCGCCCGUCACACCAUGGGAGCGGGUUUUACCAGAAGUAGGUAGCUUAACCGCAAGGAGGGCGCUUACCACGGUAGGAUUCGUGACUGGGGUGAAGUCGUAACAAGGUAGCCGUAUCGGAAGGUGCGGCUG